RNAcentral lists this ribosomal RNA (432 nucleotides) under uncultured bacterium. Its description in RNAcentral is "partial 16S ribosomal RNA". It matches the Rfam family "Bacterial small subunit ribosomal RNA", at positions 338 to 795 of the family's 1533-position model. The record is from RNAcentral.
CCUACGGGAGGCAGCAGUGGGGAAUAUUGGACAAUGGGCGCAAGCCUGAUCCAGCCAUACCGCGUGGGUGAAGAAGGCCUUCGGGUUGUAAAGCCCUUUUGUUGGGAAAGCGGUACCCAAAGAAUAAGCACCGGCUAACUUCGUGCCAGCAGCCGCGGUAAUACGAAGGGUGCAAGCGUUACUCGGAAUUACUGGGCGUAAAGCGUGCGUAGGUGGUUGUUUAAGUCUGUUGUGAAAGCCCUGGGCUCAACCUGGGAAUUGCAGUGGAUACUGGGCGACUAGAGUGUGGUAGAGGGUAGUGGAAUUCCCGGUGUAGCAGUGAAAUGCGUAGAGAUCGGGAGGAACAUCCAUGGCGAAGGCAGCUACCUGGACCAAACUGACACUGAGGCACGAAAGCGUGGGGAGCAAACAGGAUUAGAUACCCUUGUAGUC